AUUUUUCAGUAUAAAAUAGUCACUUACUACAGUACUAAAACAAUUAUUUACGUUUUUGAGUGAAUAGGUAGGUUUAAUAAGCAGCAUGCCAUAUAAGAUAUUAAACAAUUUGUAAUUGACGUUUUAUGCUUCGGCUGAUAACUUUGUUCAGACCAACUGGCCAGGGUGCAUUGGGCUAUUCCAUUUAAUAUCCGUACCCAACUCCCUGUCGAGGAUCCCUGGAAUUCUUCAGGGGUAAAGUGUUUUGAGCUUGGAAUUCUUCAGGGGUAAAGUGUUUUGAGUUUGGAAUUCUUCAGGGGUGAAGGGUUUUGAGCUUGGAAUUCUUCAGGGUUAAAAGGUUUUGAGCUUGGAAUUCUUCAGGGGUAAGGAGUUUUGAACUUGGAAUUUUGGAAUUCUUCAGGGGUAAAAGGUUUUGAGCUUGGAAUUCUUCAGGGGUAUAACCAUGAAAAACAUGUAUCCUCGACAGGGGGUGUACGGAUAUUAAAUGGAAUAGCCCAUUCCAUGUAAAGUACUCCGUAGAUAAUCCAACAUAUACAAUAGUUCACGCCAAUAUGUUGGAGAUUUUAACCCCGGGACCAAAGUCGAUGUUAAAAUGGCAUUUAAUGGCUAUAAACCUGGCAUGUUUUAUUUACUGUUGGGCCAUUCCAUUUAAUGUCCACACACACCCUAUGGAUGAGUUUUUCUGAAGGGUGACUCAAAAAGUCGUUUCUAGCCUGUCGGCAUCCUUUGAUCUCUGCAAUUUUUCUGAGGGGUAAGGGGAAAAUUUAGAAAUUUCUGAGGGGUGUUUUGUGUCGGCACUUUGAUAGUUUUUUCUUAGGGGUUAAAAUUUUACUGACCUCAUCCAUAGGGGGGGGGGGAGUGGAUUUUAAAUGGAAUGGCCCAUUAACAUCAUAUCCUUGAAGUUUAUAUACUGUGAAUAUAGAAUUUAUAGAUAUUGUAUGAUAAUCAAUUCAGCCACAAACUUCUACUGUAGUUACACUUAUCACUUCUUUUUGAGUGAUCUCAUGCCAAUUCUUGGGUUUCACUAUGGCAUUAUACAGUGAAUCUGACGGGGGGCAAACUCAAGUGUAUUGAUGCUUAUGCUGUACUCAAAUGAGAAAAUGAUACAAAAUUCCAUGUAUUCACCAUCAAACACAAGGCUAACACAUAAAAAGAACAAUCGACUCACAUGAAAAGUAUAGAAUAAAAAUGCAGAUGACAUUGACAACAUGAGAUGAUAAAGAUCUUUAAUGUAAUAUAAACUGACACAACAACUACAGGUGUUUAUUGACUGUUGUACUCUUGAUGACUGAUAGAAGAAGCUUCAUAGCAUUAGUGGCCGACCACUUAACUUUUUUUUUUUGGGGGGGGGGGUUGAUUUUGAAAAAAAUUUCCUGCAAGGCUAUUCUGAA
This is a non-coding RNA of Paramuricea clavata, 1391 nucleotides long. The record is from the annotation of a GenBank genome assembly. Lineage: Eukaryota; Metazoa; Cnidaria; Anthozoa; Malacalcyonacea; Plexauridae.